GGAGGGGGGGCAAACGUUGCUCGGAAUUACUGGGCGUAAAGGGCGCGUAGGCGGACAAUCAAGUCAGAGGGUGAAAGCCCCCGGGGCUCAACCUGGGAACUGCCUUUGAAACUGAUGGUCUAGAGUCCCGAGAGAGGAUGGCGGAAUUCCCAGUGUAGAGGUGAAAUUCGUAGAUAUUGGGAAGAACACCAGUGGCGAAGGCGGCCAUCUGGCUCGGUACUGACGCUGAGGCGCGAAAGCGUGGGGAGCAAACAGGAUUAGAUACCCUGGUAGUCCACGCCGUAAACGAUGUGUGCUAGCCGUUGGGAAACCUAGUUUCUCAGUGGCGCAGCUAACGCAUUAAGCACACCGCCUGGGGAGUACGGUCGCAAAGAUUA
This 377-nucleotide ribosomal RNA is filed under the name uncultured organism. Its description in RNAcentral is "partial 16S ribosomal RNA". It matches the Rfam family "Bacterial small subunit ribosomal RNA", at positions 525 to 896 of the family's 1533-position model. The record is from RNAcentral.